AAAAUACUGAAAAGUCAACAACAACAAAAAUACCCGCAAAAGUACCAUCCUGUUACUAAGCCAUGUACCCAUAGCACUGGACCUCCCUGAAAGGUACAUUUUAAAAUUUUUGUGCACAGCUGCCAUAUGGGUAUCUGGCAAGGAGCGCUGGUAAAAUGAGUGUUUCACCAGUUGUAGCUUCCCUAGAGAGUAUAUUUACUAAUGUGUAGUAUUACUGUAUACCAGGAGGAAACAUAAAGAGUGAGAGAUACUUAAAAAGCUAAAGAUUAAGGGGAUGGUCAGGUGGAAAACUGGGAUUUGGAAGGCAAUCAUUUCAGCAUUGGAGGAUGGUAAAAUUGCUCAGGGAGGAAGUCUAGAGCAAACGUUCUUAACAUUUUCUGCAGGGUCCUGGACUCCUUUGAAAUUCAAUUAAAUUAUGGCCCCUUUUACCCAAAUGCAUAAACAGAUGCACACACAAAUACAGUUUGGCAUAAACUUACCAAGGUUUCCUGGAACCCUCAGAAGCUUUUCCAUUUCUUCCUAAGAUUAGAAACCUUGCUUCUAAAGAGGAAAAAAAAAGGUGAAGGACAAAGCCUUGGAAGAGGAAGCAGUGAAGAAAAACAAGGAGCCCUUAGGGCCCCGGUAUCCAUUCAUCAAGCCUCUAGCACCACGGGAGCCUCCACGAGACACACCACGACUAUUGUAAUAGGGCUGAUUGCUACGUGGAAAUCCAGUGUUCUGCUGAGGAGGCUGCUGGUGGUUACCAGUCACUUGAUGGGACUGGUCCGGGGAACCAUGGUAAGUGCCAACCACUGUUUGAAGCUAUUCUUGCUGAAGCUCUGUUUGUUCUACUUGGUGAGGCUGACUAGAAAAGCUCUGGUUAUAACUGGCCUGGUACUGAUUUUGCUGUUUUAAAGUUUCUGGUUCACAGCUUUUCCAGUUAAAUUGGAGCACUGAACGUUCAGAUGCAUACCAAAUUAUGCAUGGGUCCUAAUCACACCUAUAAGGCUGGCUACCAGCUUUGACACAGCAUUGUUCAUCUGGCCAAACAACUGUGGUUAAAAACACAUGUAAAAUGCUUUUUAACAGCUGAUACUGUAUAAGACAAAGCCAAGAUGCAAAAUUAGGCUUUGAUUGGCACUUUUUGAAAAAUAUGCAACAAAUAUGGGAUGUAAUCUGGAUGGCCGCUUCUGUACUUAAUGUGAAAUAUUUAGAUACCUUUUUGAACACUUAACAGUUUUUUUGAGACAAUGACUUUUGUAAGGAUUGGUACUAUCAUUCCUUAUGACAUGUACAUUGUCUGUCACUAAUCCUUGGAUUUUGCUGUAUUGUCACCUAAAUUGGUACAGGUACUGAUGAAAUCUCUAGUGGAUAAUCAUAACACUCUUGGUCACAUGUUUUUCCUUCAGCUUGAAAGCUUUUUUUUAAAAGGAAAAGAUACCAAAUGCCUGCUGCUACCACCCUUUUCAAUUGCUAUCUUUUGAAAGGCACCAGUAUGUGUUUUAGAUUGAUUUCCCUGUUUCAGGGAAGUCACAGACGGUAGUUUCAGUUCUGAUGGUAUAAGCAAAACAAAUAAAACAUGUUUAUAAAAAAAAAAUUAUUGGAGAUUUUUUUCUUAAUGUUACCAAAACAUCAAAAU
Molecule: long non-coding RNA, 1618 nt
Filed under: Macaca nemestrina (pig-tailed macaque)
Lineage: Eukaryota; Metazoa; Chordata; Mammalia; Primates; Cercopithecidae
Description: lncRNA (ENSMNEG00000045980.1)
Source: RNAcentral